UGAAUCCCUUCCACUGAGUGUAACCACUUGGAAUGUGCUGAUUUAUGGUAUUGCAGCAGAAGUUAUGAACACUGCAACUAUCUAACCGGAAUCGGAGAGUAAACUGAUUUACCCAAAAUAUAAUUUAACCAAGACCCUGGAAUUAACAACUCUAUGCUUUUUAGAAGUGCCACAAGAGCCUUGAUUACUAUGGAUGGUUACAUUCAAACAUGAAGUUUGGGGACAAAAGACUACACACAUACCUAUUUGCAGAGGUGGACAAGAAUCGGAUGCAGUGGGUUUGGUCUUAGCCUGUUACCAUCCGUAUCUUCUGAAAUUGGCCUCAACGUUGCCUACAGGUCUCCUUCUACUCUGCCUAGUGAGAAAUGAAAAAUCUUCUGCUAUACACCGUGUUACUACACUUAGUAUUCUGAGCAAGCUUCCUCUAUAACUUCUAGAGUACAACAUUCUUGUUCUGCUGUGUCAUUUUUGUUGUAAAGAGCUUAGGCCUGCAUCUUUAAGUGUUUUCUCUAGAUUUAUUUCAACUCAAAGAACAUGACUGUUGUUUUUCCCGGUAUCGAUUUUGGCAGCUUCAAUUAAACAUGCUUUCUUCAUGUAAGAAUCCCCUCAAGGAAAUUCUGUCAAGUAGUAAAUUGUUCCUUUCCAACUGUCACUAAUGAGAAUACUAGCUCCUC
Long non-coding RNA from Gymnogyps californianus (California condor), 674 nucleotides. RefSeq lists it as uncharacterized. The record is from RefSeq and is a predicted model, not a curated record. Lineage: Eukaryota; Metazoa; Chordata; Aves; Accipitriformes; Cathartidae. The transcript is spliced from 3 exons.